UCUGUCUCCUUCCUUCCCCCCGGGAUGCCCACUGUGAAGCCGGCAGGGAGGGGCCGGGCCGCUUUCCCCGCCCACAGCCCGCAGUGGCCGCUCUGCCCGCUGCCUGGGGGCGCUGCGGCGUGGGCUGCGUGUUUACCCCGCGCGCCCGGCUUUCUCUGCCUACGCUCUAAGGAAACUCAACCUCAGAUGGGGACCGAUGGAGCCAACGCCUUUCCUGCCCCACUAAGAGUCCUCGGAGCCCACCUCAGGCCCUGUAGAAGCUUCUAGAGCCAGCUGCGGAGUGUGACCCUGGUGUGGCUCCAGGUGCAGCUUCCUGUGCCUGCGAGGACGCCAGAGGGCAGGGCACUGUGCCAGGCCUUCCGCAUUUUCAAAUGUGGGUGCAAUGGAGUUGUCAGGGGUCCCCACGGGCUUUCUCUCUGGUUAGAACACCUUCUUCCAACACCAGGCUCUGCGGACAUCCCUGACGCUUUGGUUCCCAGCCAAUGAAGGCAGGGCUGGUGUUGGCGUGACUGUUAAGCUUACAAUAUGGAGGAACCAGCCGCGGCCCAGACUGGAGAAGGGGCGGUGGGCAACAGCCGAGCAUUGCUGCGCUCACAGACCCCGAACGGAGACAAAGGCAGUCUUGCUCGACAAACAUGGCUGCCAGCCCCAAAGAGAGACCCUAGAGACAGCUGUGAAACAGAGCAGGCAGCAAGAGGACGAGAGCAAAGACUGUCCCGGCUGUGGAACCCUGCCCGGACAUCAUGGGACCAGACUCCCUACUUCUGUGGCUGUUAGUAUUUCCCGUUCUAGCGGGGAUUCUGCAGCAGAUGAGGUGAGAAGAAGACAGAAGUGUUAAAAUGAAAUUUGAAACGCGACUGAAAAUCUGCCUAUCGGCUAUGCUAAUGGCCUGUGGGUCCAACUCCCAUUCGAAGUCUGUUCCCUCCUCUAUUCAAUCAGGGUGCAUCCCGAGAUGUAAAAUUGGAAUGAAUUCCAGCAGGUGGAAAACACAGCUUUGAACAGAUCAGAUGGGCUGUGAGUCAGAUUCUUGAUUCUUUCUUUCUUAGUUGGUUCCUGAUGUUGGAGAAAACAGGAGAGAACAGAGACCACCGGGGUCAGCCCCGUUCUUAGUUCUUCUCCCCUGAAAUCUUUUUCCUCCCAGGCCCUUCCUAGGACAGUUGAAAGUGCCAUCCCCAAGGGGGGGUGGGGUAGGGAGG
This is a non-coding RNA of Oryctolagus cuniculus (rabbit), 1196 nucleotides long. The record is from RefSeq and is a predicted model, not a curated record. Lineage: Eukaryota; Metazoa; Chordata; Mammalia; Lagomorpha; Leporidae.